RNAcentral lists this ribosomal RNA (529 nucleotides) under Lasiodiplodia theobromae. RNAcentral describes it as "eukaryotic LSU rRNA". The stretch from base 156 to 309 matches the Rfam family "5.8S ribosomal RNA". Lineage: Eukaryota; Fungi; Ascomycota; Dothideomycetes; Botryosphaeriales; Botryosphaeriaceae. The record is from RNAcentral.
CCUGCGGAAGGAUCAUUACCGAGUUUUCGAGCUCCGGCUCGACUCUCCCACCCUUUGUGAACGUACCUCUGUUGCUUUGGCGGCUCCGGCCGCCAAAGGACCUUCAAACUCCAGUCAGUAAACGCAGACGUCUGAUAAACAAGUUAAUAAACUAAAACUUUCAACAACGGAUCUCUUGGUUCUGGCAUCGAUGAAGAACGCAGCGAAAUGCGAUAAGUAAUGUGAAUUGCAGAAUUCAGUGAAUCAUCGAAUCUUUGAACGCACAUUGCGCCCCUUGGUAUUCCGGGGGGCAUGCCUGUUCGAGCGUCAUUACAACCCUCAAGCUCUGCUUGGAAUUGGGCACCGUCCUCACUGCGGACGCGCCUCAAAGACCUCGGCGGUGGCUGUUCAGCCCUCAAGCGUAGUAGAAUACACCUCGCUUUGGAGCGGUUGGCGUCGCCCGCCGGACGAACCUUCUGAACUUUUCUCAAGGUUGACCUCGGAUCAGGUAGGGAUACCCGCUGAACUUAAGCAUAUCAAUAAGCGGAGG